Molecule: long non-coding RNA, 902 nt
Filed under: Amborella trichopoda
Lineage: Eukaryota; Viridiplantae; Streptophyta; Magnoliopsida; Amborellales; Amborellaceae
Description: long non-coding RNA (ATRI_LNC002230)
Source: RNAcentral
UAAUGUGCUUUGUCUAACCUUCAUUUAAUGAGUACAGAUCUGAUCACAAGGCUGGGAGUGAGUUGGAUUACGUCCUCCCAUCCCGAUAUGAUCUCGCACCAGGCUUUUAACAUUACCAUUUAAGCUACCAUCAAAGUUUAGUUUGAGGAUAUCACGAGGUGGGAAGCCCAUUGGUUUCAGAUUCUUCAACUCAAUUAGCUAGUGCAAAACAAAAAUAAAUGGCUUCCCGACCCCCCAACUCUCUUUCAUCCUAGGCAUAUGUUUCGGAUGCCAUUUCCACCACCUUGACAUGAAAUGCAAGCCACAGCAAGGCCUACAUCUUGUAUAGGGCUGGUAUCAUCCACCCACAUUCUGUUAACAGCUGAGAUGGGAUCGGAUCUUCACUAGGGGUGAGGACAUAAACUUUGAUGGAGAAAAACAGUCCCAGCACAGCCCAGCGCAUUUGCGGUGGUGUAGCAACUGUUAGCCCCUGUUGGGAGGCCAGAUUGUUGGUCCUCGGCCUUUUGUCUAGCCAUCGGUGCUGCCAUGCCAAAACUUUGUUGUCUUGCCAUCAUCUACCAACAGUCUAAUAUUUGACACCAUAGACCUAUGAACUUCAAUUUCCCCCAAUGUUUUUUGUUUUUGUGAAGCAACAUAACAUUUAUCCAGAGAGUUGCAAUGACUCCGAUGCCCAUCUCCACCACCAUCUGAGAGCCUGCUUCGUUCGUCUCUCCGCCUCCGUGUUUCUUUGAUUUACAAACUGAGAACCAAUUUACUUAUGUUUCUUGCUUGACUUCACCCAUAGGGUCCUCUUCAUAAGCCCCCCCCCCCCCCCCCUUAUGAAUCAGAGCAUUGAGAUGAAGUAUGCAUCCAAGUUCAAGAGAGUUGAUAAUCAGCGCUAUCUUACAGUUGGGUGAAAAAUA